Molecule: ribosomal RNA, 1511 nt
Filed under: uncultured bacterium
Lineage: Bacteria
Description: bacterial SSU rRNA
Rfam family: Bacterial small subunit ribosomal RNA
Source: RNAcentral
AGGGUUCGAUCCUGGCUCAGGACGAACGCUGGCGGUGCGCCUUAUGCAUGCAAGUCGAGCGAAGCUUUUCAGUAGUUUACUACAGAAAAUGACUGAGCGGCGAACGGGUGAGUAACGCGUGAGCAAUCUACCUUAGUUACAGGGAUAGCCCGAGGAAACUCGGAUUAAUACCUGAUAUUCUUUAUUUCUCGCAUGAGAAUAAAAGGAAAGGUCAGCCGAACUAAGAUGAGCUCGCGUUCUAUCAGCUAGUUGGUGAGGUAAAAGCUCACCAAGGCUACGACGGAUAGCUGGUCUGAGAGGACGAUCAGCCACACUGGGACAUAGAAACACCGGCCCCAGAUCUCCUCACCGGGAGGUCUGCAGCAGGGAAUAUGGCGCAAUGAGCGAAAGCUUGACGCAGCGACACCCGCGUGUGGGAUGACGGAUCUAGGUUUGUAAACCACUUUCAGGACGGAAGAAAAUGACGGUACCUCCACAAGAAGCCCCGGCCAACUACGUGCCAGCAGCCGCGGUAAUACGUAGGGGGCGAGGCGUUGUCCGGAUUUAUUGGGCGUAAAGAGCUCGUAGGCGGUUCAACAAGUCGGUCGUGAAAGUUCAGGGCUCAACCCUGAAAUGUCGAUCGAUACUGUUGUGAUUAGGAUACGGUAGAGGUGAGUGGAAUUCCGAGUGUAGCGGUGAAAUGCGUAGAUAUUCGGAGGAACGCCAAUAGCGAAGGCAGCUCACUGGGCCGCUAUCGACGCUGAGGAGCGAAAGCUAGGGGAGCAAACAGGAUUAGAUACCCUGGUAGUCCUAGCUGUAAACGAUGGAUACUAGACGUACGAACUGGAUUGACGGUUUCUGUGUCGCAGCUAACGCGUUAAGUAUCCCGCCUGGGGGAGUACGGUCGCAAGACUAAAACUCAAAGGAAUUGACGGGACCCCGCACAAGCGGCGGAGCAUGCGGCUUAAUUCGAUGAUACCCGUAGAACCUUACCUGGACUUGAAAAAAUAGGGUCUAGCUAUAGAAGAAAAUAGUGUGCAUUAGCGCCCUAUACAGGUGGUGCAUGGCCUGUCGUCAGCUCGUGUCGUGAGAUGUUGGGUUAAGUCCCGCAACGAGCGCAACCCCUGUCCUAUGUUGCCAGCAAUUAGUUGGGAACCUCAUAGGAGACUGCCGGUCAAUAAACCCGAAGAACGUGGGGACCAAACGUCAGAGUUCAUAUCAUGCCCCUCUAUGUCCAGGGCUGCACGCAUGCUACAAUGGCAAGUACAACGAGUCGCAAUACCGCGAGGUGGAGCAAAUCUCUUAAAGCUUGUCUCAGUUCGGAUAGGAGUCUGCAACUCGACUCCUUGAAGUUGGAGUCGCUAGUAAUCGCAAAUCAGCAAAGUUGCGGUGAAUACGUUCUCGGGGUUUGUACACACCGCCCGUCAAGUCACGGAAGUCGGCAAUACCCGAAGCCAGUGGUCCAACCCUUUUAGGGAGGAAGCUGUCGAAGGUAGGGUCGGUAACUGGGACUAAGUCGUAACAAGGUAGCC